AUAUAACGUUACAUGUAUACGCACACACCAAUUCAACGUCUUGUUAUUUCGUUUGAAUCUCCGGGAAAAUGUAUUGUACGCCCUCCCCAAAUCGUCAGCCUUGCAGCUCCGUCUAUUGGGCGUUUUGUGCAAAGCGCAAUGAACGCGUAUGACGCUGCUGCUGCGUGCUGGACUGGACCAUCUGUUCGUUAAUUUUUUUCCUUUUUUGUGGGUUUGGUGGCCGUCGGUCGAGAGUGAACGUUUCCCACACAUUGGCGCAAUAAUAAGCACGGCGCCCGAACGCAGGGUUGGAUGAUUUUGUGUUUUUCAACCCCUCAGUCAGUAUAGCGCUGCGUCCUCUUUUCCCCUUGGUGGUGAAGCGCUAAAAGCAACGGGACGGAAUUAUAUUGGCAUUUACUAUUGUUGGCCAAAAAAUUCGAGUGGACGUUUUCAGUUUGGCCUUCGCUGAUAUGACUAUGUCACCUGAAUAACCUUGUCCUGACCGAUUGCGGGUACUAUAACGAAAACUGAACAGAUCACUGGUCACGGAAACGUGUACGUGUCUGCAAGAGAAAUAGAGAAGUGAACAAAAUAAAAUGUGGUCGUCGUGUGAACUUUGGUGUCCUGUUGACUCUGUUGACACUCCAUGCUCUCCACUCCAUGCGCUGUUUCUCAGAUUUCAGGCCUGAGCCAGCCAUCAUAACCACAAGAUGUGCUGCAAGUUUUGAUAUGUCAUCACCAAUAAUCUCAGCAUCAUCAAUUGAAAUCGGAUAAACAACAUCCAGUUUAAUUGGUGAAACUCUGUCCUCGUGUACACCCGUGUGAAGGUGUGUGAAUAUUCACGAUGACCCCCCUCUUCCUAUCCUGACUGGUGGAUUCACUUAAUUUCUGCGUCGGAUAGAGCACAGUUUGUGGAUGCCUGGCUGUGGAUGUUCCGGGCUUAUGAAGGUAGGACAAAAUUGAUCCCUAUUCUUCCUUUUCGACAAUU
Long non-coding RNA from Daphnia pulicaria, 967 nucleotides. RefSeq lists it as uncharacterized. NCBI's taxonomy places the organism in Eukaryota, Metazoa, Arthropoda, Branchiopoda, Diplostraca, Daphniidae. The transcript is spliced from 4 exons. The record is from RefSeq and is a predicted model, not a curated record.